GAUGAACGCUGGCGGCGUGCCUAAUACAUGCAAGUCGAGCGAACGGACGAGAAGCUUGCUUCUCUGAUGUUAGCGGCGGACGGGUGAGUAACACGUGGAUAACCUACCUAUAAGACUGGGAUAACUUCGGGAAACCGGAGCUAAUACCGGAUAAUAUUUUGAACCGCAUGGUUCAAAAGUGAAAGACGGUCUUGCUGUCACUUAUAGAUGGAUCCGCGCUGCAUUAGCUAGUUGGUAAGGUAACGGCUUACCAAGGCAACGAUGCAUAGCCGACCUGAGAGGGUGAUCGGCCACACUGGAACUGAGACACGGUCCAGACUCCUACGGGAGGCAGCAGUAGGGAAUCUUCCGCAAUGGGCGAAAGCCUGACGGAGCAACGCCGCGUGAGUGAUGAAGGUCUUCGGAUCGUAAAACUCUGGUAUUAGGGAAGAACAUAUGUGUAAGUAACUGUGCACAUCUUGACGGUACCUAAUCAGAAAGCCACGGCUAACUACGUG
Molecule: ribosomal RNA, 497 nt
Filed under: uncultured bacterium
Lineage: Bacteria
Description: partial 16S ribosomal RNA
Rfam family: Bacterial small subunit ribosomal RNA
Source: RNAcentral